This 393-nucleotide ribosomal RNA is filed under the name uncultured bacterium. RNAcentral describes it as "partial 16S ribosomal RNA". It matches the Rfam family "Bacterial small subunit ribosomal RNA", at positions 523 to 918 of the family's 1533-position model. The record is from RNAcentral.
AUACGGAGGAUGCAAGCGUUAUCCGGAUUUAUUGGGUUUAAAGGGUGCGUAGGCGGUUUGCUAAGCGGGAGGUGAAAUGCCGGCGCUCAACGUCGGAAGUGCCUCCCGAACUGGUGGACUUGAAUGACUCUGCCGUGGGAGGAAUGUGUAGUGUAGCGGUGAAAUGCUUAGAGAUUACACAGAACACCGAUUGCGAAGGCAUCUCACGAAGGGUUGAUUGACGCUGAGGCACGAAAGCGUGGGGAUCAAACAGGAUUAGAUACCCUGGUAAUCCACGCAGUAAACGAUGAUGGCUAACCGCUGGGCUUAUCAGUUCAGUGGCCAAGCGAAAGCGAUAAGCCAUCCACCUGGGGAGUACGACCGCAAGGUUGAAACUCAAAUGAAUUGACGGGG